CGGUACCGGCGGCACAGUUGGUAGAUCACUCGGGGGCUACGCAUAUUCCGGGAGGGGCUACGCACUCUGUUGGGAUCAGGGGUUUAUGGGGAGAGGGAGCAUUCAUAAACUGCUGGACCUUCUCCGGCUGGAGCGCCAGCAGCAGUAGCAGCAGCUAGGGCACCGGUGGCCGGAGGGAAGCAGCGCGGUUCUGCAGGUCCUCGAGGCGGUAGCAGCAGAGGCAGCGGUAGCUGAUAGCCAACCUCGAGCCUGCCGGACGACGGAGCGGUAGCGCGCCAGAAGAGGACAGCCGGCGGGGGUGGUAGCGGCAGCUAGAGGUGGUGGCCGCGGAGGGCCGGAGCGGUUCGAGCAGGUGCCGGAGGGGCCCUGGGGCUCUAACUACGACGGUAACACUAGUCGAUGCAGCUGCUGCUGGGGAGGAACGGUCUCGUUGGUCUACAGCCUCGGGUCCUCGGUCUACGGUGGCGGCUACGUAUGAUGAUGCACCUCUGGCGGCCGCUAGUCCUCAUCAAUCCUCCGAGGGUCCGUCCUCCGGAACGAAAAAGCUAGUAACGACGAAAACACGAUCGGAAGAAUUCUGUUUGAACAGAUUGAAUACAGACAUGAGUCUAUAACACCGAAGGCGACUGAGAACACAUAAGCUCAAAUACAUAAGCUCGGGAGUUCCGGGG
RNAcentral lists this ribosomal RNA (671 nucleotides) under Triticum aestivum (bread wheat). RNAcentral's name for it is "partial small subunit ribosomal RNA". Lineage: Eukaryota; Viridiplantae; Streptophyta; Magnoliopsida; Poales; Poaceae. The record is from RNAcentral.